RNAcentral lists this ribosomal RNA (460 nucleotides) under uncultured bacterium. Its description in RNAcentral is "partial 16S ribosomal RNA". It matches the Rfam family "Bacterial small subunit ribosomal RNA", at positions 338 to 795 of the family's 1533-position model. The record is from RNAcentral.
CCUACGGGAGGCAGCAGUGAGGAAUAUUGGUCAAUGGACGAGAGUCUGAACCAGCCAAGUCGCGUGAAGGAUGACUGCCCUAUGGGUUGUAAACUUCUUUUAUAUGGGAAUAAAAUGUUCCACGUGUGGGAUUUUGUAUGUACCAUAUGAAUACGGAUCGGCUAACUCCGUGCCAGCAGCCGCGGUAAUACGGCGGAUCCGAGCGUUAUCCGGAUUUAUUGGGUUUAAAGGGAGCGUAGGUGGAUUGUUAAGUCAGGUGUGAAAGGUUGCGGCUCAACCUGAAAAUUGCAGUUGAUACUGGCAGUCUUGAGUACAGUAGAGGUGGGCGGAAUUCGUGGUGUAGCAGUGAAAUGCUUAGAUAUCGCGAAGAACUCCGAUUGCGAAGGCAGCUCACUGGACUUCAACUGACACUGAGGCUCGAAAGUGUGGGUAUCAAACAGGAUUAGAUACCCCAGCAGUC